Molecule: long non-coding RNA, 2671 nt
Filed under: Diabrotica virgifera virgifera (western corn rootworm)
Lineage: Eukaryota; Metazoa; Arthropoda; Insecta; Coleoptera; Chrysomelidae
Description: uncharacterized LOC126881660
Source: RNAcentral
AAUAAUAAAAAAAACAGAGUAAAAAAAAACAGUAGUACUAAUAGUUUUAAAUUUAGAUACUAAGCAUAUAUUUUGUAAAAGAGAGAAUUCAAAACACAUUGACUGGCCAGUUGGUUGCUUAAACCAGUGCCAAUAAAACAUAAACACACACACAAGAUACAAUAAUAAUAUAAAUAUUUGAAUGAUAUGCUUUUUAUCUUUAUGCUGACAAACCUUUGCGAUUGCACACAUAUUGUGUAAAUUAGUUCCAAGAUCAUAAAAAACGAAAAUAUUAAAAGCUCGUCAUCAAAUAAAUCCAUAUUUUUAGAGUUAACAGACAUGUUCUUUUAAUAAAAUUAGAAAAAGAUCGUUCCACAAAAUUUAUUUUGAGAAGAAAAAUAAUUAAUAGCACAAGUGACAGUGACACAAAACAGCUGUUUACCAUAUAAUGGGGAACUUGCACAUUUUUUUUUAUUACUUAAUAAUGUUCAGUUUUGUAUAAAAAUGAGAUUUCCAAAAUUUCCCGCUUCAAAAACUCAUAAUAACUUAGAAAUACAAAUUUAAAGUCUUCUUUAUUUUAAAGUAGUUCAGACGGCCCGUGACGUCACAUAGUUUUACAUUAGUUUUUUAUAUGGUUAUAUCAGUGAUGUGGGAGGGUUAUAUGGGAGAGAUUAAAUGUCCAGCAAACGACGGCAAUGUUGCCAGAUUCCUACAGUUCGCUUUUAAAUUUGACAGUUCUGUUUUCUCAAGUCAAAAAUCUUAACCUUACUUUUACAAGUGAUUAGGAUUAUUAUUAUUAUUUUAUUUACAUGUAAAUUGAAACAAUAAAUAUUGUGCUGUGUCAUAAUUUCAAACUCAUUAUGUUGCAGUCUUUUCCAGUUGAUAAAAUUGCAAUUCAAAAACUUUUAGAUUUGCACUGUAUGGCUGGCACAGGAAGAGAACAAGAGUACAAGAACAUGAAACAUCUUAUUAUGAAUGUAUAUGUAUGUGAUCCUCAAAAAAUUAUUUUACAGAACAAGAUAGAGAAAGAGCUUUAAAAUCCCAAGGAUCCUGCAAAAUGUUUAUUUGGUGUACCUACUAGUCGAAUAAUAGUAUCUAAAAAUAUUGAAACUAUUUUAAAACAGAUUACAGGCACUUCAAAGUAUAUUUUGAGACUUUCUUCAAAAAUUAAACUUCAGACUGUUCAGGAUAGCAUAAUAGCAUAGGAGGCGAAUUAAAAAGAAUUGAUUUACUUACAAGAAAAGAUAUCACAAACAUUAAACUCUCUUAUGGCAUUGAUUUGAAAGAUGGGUAUAUGUACAAUGAUGAUGCAACCAGUGUUUAUUUUUGGGUUGAAUGCUUACAGACUCAUGUCCAAUAUUAUUUUACAAUCAACAGGGAAUACUAAUGGAUAUUCAUUCUGAAUUUAACAUCUAUGAUUUUUGUCUUAUUUGCAUGAAUGCUGUGCCAAAAGGAAAUGUUAAUUAAGUUUGGUAAAUCCUUUAUCGCAAUCGAUGGAACUCAUGGGCUCAAUUCCUAUUCCUGACUUUGAACUUAUGAUAGUAUUAGUAAAAGAUGAAUUUGGGAAUGGAUUUUGUACUGCUUUCUUAUUUUCAAAUAGAAAAGAUACCUACUUUAAUUUACCAAUUUUUUAAAAUACAUGUCUGUGUUGGUAUUAUAUGUAUAGUCAAAUGUUUUCAUAUCAGGCAUAAUCUACACCUUUUACAAUGCCUCGUCAAAUGUAAUGGGUAUUGCUCCUAAUAGACUGUUAAGUGCCUGGCACAUAGAUAGGGCAUGGUAAGUAAAUCUUAAUAAAAUAUCUGAUUCUGAAAAAAAUCCUAUUAUGUAUACAAGAUGUAUUAAUGAUGGUUUAGAGAGUAUUAAUAGCUUUUUGGGUAGACUUCUAAGUGAUGCAGAUACAUACAAUUUUAGUAAGUAUUUCCAGUAGAACUACUGCAAUAACAUCCAACAAUGGGUCUAUUGUUAUAGGAAGAGGUUGUGGAAUUAAUACCAAUAUGACCAUUCAAAAUUUUCAUAAAAUUUUGGAUAAAAGGGUAUCCAUUAGUUGUUAUCAGUUAAGUUUAAAACUUGGCACUCAUGGAGAGCUAUACCAUAAUAUAUAAUAGGUAUAUCUCAUAUUGUUCACUACAGUAGUAAUGAGUGAGCCUGCAUACACAGAACCAUAAUAAUAUAUUAUAGUUCGUGUAUGCAGGCUCACUCAUUACAAUAGUGAGCAAUAUGAGAUAUAACAUAUUAUAGUAUAAGUCUCUGUGCAUGACCAGAUUAACAUGUUUGGUGCCCAUCUCAAACAAGCUGGUACCACAUACUUAAAUCAUUUAUUUAGUUACACAGUACUACUCGCAUAACUUAUGUGUCGUCGGUACCUUCCGUAAAACCUUCGUGAUGCUACCCAUACGUCAUGACCACUGAAUGUGUUAAAGCUUGUUAAUGUAGGAGAGUUAUACUAAAAUAUAUAUCUUAUAUUAUAUUGCCUUAAAUAGAAAAAAUAUCUUAUUUAAAUUGUAUCCAUGUAAGUUUUGAUUUAAUGAAAUAAACCUUUUAAUCAAAAAAGUGUUGUUUACUUGUGUACACCCAGCAAUAUCCUGAUCAUAGAUAAAUAAUAUAGUAUUACCGGAUCCUGAUAUGCAGACGCCAAUAGGGCUUUUCAUCGAUUGUCAUUUGUUUCGAGCUUCUGUCAUGAGUCACAUAAUAU